GUGUCAGCAGCCGCGGUAACACGUAGGAGGCAAGCGUUAUCCGGAUUUACUGGGCGUAAAGCGCGUGCAGGUGGUUCGGUAAGUUGGAUGUGAAAGCUCCUGGCUCAACUGGGAGAGGUCGUUCAAAACUGCCGGACUUGAGAAUAGUAGAGGAAGAUGGAAUUCCCGGUGUAGUGGUGAAAUGCGUAGAUAUCGGGAGGAACACCAGUGGCGAAAGCGGUCUUCUGGACUAUUUCUGACACUCAGACGCGAAAGCUAGGGUAGCAAACGGGAUUAGAAACCCCUGUAGUCC
This 292-nucleotide ribosomal RNA is filed under the name uncultured bacterium. RNAcentral describes it as "partial 16S ribosomal RNA". It matches the Rfam family "Bacterial small subunit ribosomal RNA", at positions 505 to 796 of the family's 1533-position model. The record is from RNAcentral.